This 412-nucleotide unclassified non-coding RNA is filed under the name soil metagenome. Its description in RNAcentral is "partial contains 5.8S ribosomal RNA, internal transcribed spacer 2, and large subunit ribosomal RNA". The stretch from base 1 to 122 matches the Rfam family "5.8S ribosomal RNA", at positions 35 to 154 of the family's 154-position model. The record is from RNAcentral.
GAUGAAGAACGUAGCGAAAUGCGAUACUUGGUGUGAAUUGCAGAAUCCCGUGAACCAUCGAGUCUUUGAACGCAAGUUGCGCCCGAAGCCGUCAGGCCGAGGGCACGCCUGCCUGGGCGUCACACGCCGUUGCCCCCCCGCGCCCCGCACCCAACUCUUUGGGAGCGACCGCGGGGCGGGCUGAUGAUGGCCUCCCGUGCGCUCCGCCGCGCGGUUGGCCCAAAUACCGAGUCCCCGGCGACGUGCGCCACGACGAUCGGUGGUUGAGAGACCUCUGUCGCAAGUCGUGCGCGCCCGUCGCGUCACGCGGGCUCGCAUAGCGCCUCGCGCCGCACCCGGUGCGGAGCUUUCAACGCGACCCCAGGUCAGGCGGGGUUACCCGCUGAAUUUAAGCAUAUCAAUAAGCAGAGGA